This 1357-nucleotide small RNA is filed under the name Pongo abelii (Sumatran orangutan). RNAcentral's name for it is "retained intron". The record is from RNAcentral. Lineage: Eukaryota; Metazoa; Chordata; Mammalia; Primates; Hominidae.
GAUUUCUUGCCCGUCCCCUCCCUCCCUCCUGCUGCGACUGUGGGACUGUGGCCCAGGGGUGGACAUGAUCAGUAAGAUGCUGAAGAUGCAGAUGUUGGAGGAUGAGGACGACCUGGCCUAUGCAGAGACCGAGAAGAAGACGAGGACAGACUCUACAUCCGACGGGCGCCCUGCCUGGAUGCGGACGCUGCACACCACCGCGUCCAACUGGCUCCACCUCAUCCCCCAGACGCUGAGCCACCUCAAGCGCACUGUGGAGAAUAUCAAGGAUCCUCUGUUCAGGUUCUUUGAGAGAGAAGUGAAGAUGGGUGCGAAGCUGCUUCAGGACGUUCGCCAGGACCUUGCGGAUGUCGUCCAGGUGUGCGAAGGAAAGAAGAAGCAGACCAACUACUUGCGCACGCUGAUCAACGAGCUGGUGAAAGGGAUCUUGCCUCGGAGCUGGUCCCACUACACGGUGCCUGCCGGCAUGACCGUCAUCCAGUGGGUGUCCGACUUCAGCGAGAGGAUCAAACAGCUGCAGAACAUCUCACUGGCGGCUGCGUCUGGUGGCGCCAAGGAGCUAAAGGUGAAGGCGCUCCUGACGAGUCUGGGGUGGUCAGCAGCUAUCCUGGGCUGGGGUGGGAGUGGCUCUGGGGACAAACACAGGGCCCAGGUCUGACCUGAGCUCCUUCCCCUGGGGGCUGCUGCUUUCCACAGAACAUCCACGUGUGCCUGGGUGGCCUGUUCGUGCCUGAGGCGUACAUCACUGCCACUAGGCAGUACGUGGCCCAGGCCAACAGCUGGUCCCUGGAGGAGCUCUGCCUGGAAGUCAACGUCACCACCUCACAGGGCGCCACCCUUGACGCUUGCAGCUUUGGAGUCACGGGUUUGAAACUUCAAGGGGCCACGUGCAACAACAACAAGCUGUCACUGUCCAACGCCAUCUCAACCGCCCUUCCCCUGACGCAGCUGCGCUGGGUCAAGCAGACAAACACCGAGAAGAAGGCCAGUGUGGUGACCUUACCCGUGUACCUGAACUUCACCCGUGCAGACCUCAUCUUCACCGUCGACUUCGAAAUUGCUACAAAGGAGGAUCCUCGCAGCUUCUACGAGCGGGGUGUCGCGGUCUUGUGCACAGAGUAGAAUUAAACUUUUCUAGCUACCCCUUUCUGUAAUAGUGAAAGUUGGUAUUUAACAUUUAUUCAUUUUUAAAAUAUUUGGAAGGUCUGAGCUUGCGCAAAGAAAGUGGUUGGGCUGAGGUUGGAGGAAGCUGAAUGGAAUGUGACGGUUGGGAGUGGUGGAAAUUGGAAGGAUACCAGGAGGUAGUUGGGAAGGCCAAUGGCGUGGCUCCUUUGAGGAAAUAAAACACUAAGCAUGA